RNAcentral lists this ribosomal RNA (219 nucleotides) under uncultured bacterium. Its description in RNAcentral is "partial 16S ribosomal RNA". It matches the Rfam family "Bacterial small subunit ribosomal RNA", at positions 524 to 740 of the family's 1533-position model. The record is from RNAcentral.
UACGAGGGGGGCAAAUGUUGUUCGGAAUCACUGGGCGUAAAGGGAGCGUAGGCGGGUUUUUAAGUCAGGUGUUUAAUCCCGGGGCCCAACCCCGGACAGGCACUUGAAACUGGGAAUCUUGAAUAGUGGAGAGGUCAGUGGAAUUGGGGGUGUAGCGGUGGAAUGCGUAGAGAUCCCCAAGAACACCCGUUGCGAAGGCGGCCUGACUGGGACACAUAU